Molecule: ribosomal RNA, 492 nt
Filed under: uncultured bacterium
Lineage: Bacteria
Description: partial 16S ribosomal RNA
Rfam family: Bacterial small subunit ribosomal RNA
Source: RNAcentral
AGUGAACGCUGGCGGUAGGCCUAACACAUGCAAGUCGAACGGCAGCACAGUAAGAGCUUGCUCUUACGGGUGGCGAGUGGCGGACGGGUGAGGAAUACAUCGGAAUCUACUUUUUCGUGGGGGAUAACGUAGGGAAACUUACGCUAAUACCGCAUACGACCUACGGGUGAAAGCAGGGGAUCUUCGGACCUUGCGCGAUUGAAUGAGCCGAUGUCGGAUUAGCUAGUUGGCGGGGUAAAGGCCCACCAAGGCGACGAUCCGUAGCUGGUCUGAGAGGAUGAACCGCCACACUGGAACUGAGACACGGUCCAGACUCCUACGGGAGGCAGCAGUGGGGAAUAUUUGACAAUGGGCGCAAGCCUGAUCCAGCCAUACCGCGUUGGUGAAGAAGGCCUUCGGGUUGUAAAGCCCUUUUGUUGGGAAAGAAAAGCAGCAGGUUAAUACCCCGCUGUUCUGACGGUACCCAAAGAAUAAGCACCGGCUAACUUCGUG